Molecule: long non-coding RNA, 34992 nt
Filed under: Solanum lycopersicum (tomato)
Lineage: Eukaryota; Viridiplantae; Streptophyta; Magnoliopsida; Solanales; Solanaceae
Description: long non-coding RNA (SLYC_LNC000268)
Source: RNAcentral
CGACACAUUCACCUCCACAACGAGUUUCACAAGCAGAUUUUUCCUUGCCACUAGAAGUACAUAAAGCUACACAUUUAGUGCAACAUUUUCCAUAAUCAUCAGCCAUAUUUUCAUAUGUCUUUCUGAAUCUUUCAUCAUUUACUUCUUUGGUAGCCAUGGAGAUGUCCACACAUGAAGAAACCACAAAAAUGCAAAUGAGAAACAAUGAAAAAAGCUUCUUUGAUGCCUCCAUUUUUAUUUUUUUUUGUUUUUUAAAUAUGUUUUUUUUUUUGGUUUUUAAACGAUUUGAUUAAUGUUAUUGAAUAUCCAAUUUAUAGGUGUUUUGGGACAUCAAAUGCCUCAAAUUAAAGUGGUUGAUAACCAAUUUUUGUAGGGAAUUAUUGGUUGUGGUUGUGUGUGAUUUCUUUUUAGUUGGUAUUUAGAGACUUAGUUUACUAAAUAUUAGGAAUUAUAACAUGAUAUCUCAAUAAGAAAAGAAUUUCGAUAAAUCGAAAUUGAUAACCUGAAUUAAAAAAAUAUUGGUUUAUUGAUUAAGCGAUUUCGGUAAUGAUUUUUUUUAAUUUCAUUAUGGGGAUUUUUUUUAUCCUUAAUAGAUAACCUGAAAGUAAAUCAAUAAAUUAUAUUUAUACCAUUUGGCAUAUAAAGUUCUUGACUUAAGGUUUAGUUUCAUACUUUUUAGUUUUUGUUGUCUCAAACUCUUGGUUAUUCUAUAAUGUGUCAGUAUUUGUUUUUGAGCAAGAUGCAAUCUGCCAACUCAUGUGCGUGGUUCAUUUUGGUUUGUCACCUUCUUUUUAUGUGAUUUUCAAUGUGAUUUUUUGUGUGAAAUUUUAACGGCUAAACCGACAACAGAAUCGACAACAAUCAAUAACUAAUAAGUUCAUAUUUUAAUGGUUCUAAAAUGGUUUAGUUUUAGACAAUGGUGAACCCAUAAUUUGAAGUACUUGUGUGCACUAAUAUAAACAUAGCUCAAAUAUGAGGUCUAAGAUAAACUUAAAAUAAAAACAAUAAAAAAACAAGCUUGAGUAGGAUUUGAACCCUAAUUAAGAGGGUGGUAUCUCUAGCUUCAACCAAUUGCACAAGGACACUUCUAUGUUUUUUAUGGGUACACUGUUAAAUAUAUCCUAAUUUCUAUCGAUUUUUCAAAAUAGAUAUACCUAUAUACAUAUAAUUUUUUCGGAAGUUAGCGGGUGCACGUGCACCCUCUCAUAUAGUGUGGGUGCACCCCUGGUUUUAGACUCUUAGUUUGAUGUUUCAAAUGGCUCGGGCUUGGCGAGGGAUUUACGUUAUAACGACAUCCUACAUGAAAUUUUUUUUCCUACGUGUAUUUUGUCAUGUAGGACUCAUAUGCCUACUUUUUCAAGCUUAUACAAGUUUAAGUGACUACUUGUGCAUACACAAAGUUAAAGGGCACAAUUGUAAAAUGAGGUCAAGUUAAAAGGCGGAUAUAUGUAUUACGCCCCAAUAAAAUGCUCUUCUUGGAAUUACUUUAAAAAUAUGAAAAUAUUUUUGAAAACACCAUGAUCCACGAUUUUAUUUUGAUAUUUAGUAGUCAUUUAACAAAAAUUAGGCAUUUAACCCAAAUUAAGCGAUUUUUUUAAUUUUUUGUUGAUAUUAUUGCUUCACUUGAUUCUUUUGAAAAAUCUUUACGGUACCCUUUGUAAUGUGUUGGGGAGCAGUGUUGCCAAUCUGUGUUAAGAAAAACAGAAAUUAUUGGUUGUAAUAAAUCAUUCAGAAACACGAAGUAAUUGAGAUUUUUAGAACCAGUAAAUAAGAUGAACAGAAAUUUAUUUGUAAAAAAUAAUUUAAUUUGUAAAACUUACCAGAAUCUGGAAUACUCUUUUGAAAAAAUUUAGGAAGAAAAUCAAGUCCACUGAAUUCACAGUGUCCCCUUAAGGAGAUUAUUCCCCUCUAGUAUCCGAGGUUUGAUUUGGAAUAUAACCUCCCAGGGUAAAAUGAUCUUAAUAAGUAGAGUAUAGAUACCAAAAACUCUACUGUCUGCGAAUCAAUCCACAGUAGGAAAGUACACGAAGAAAUAUAUGUGUUUUUAAGAAGAAGGAAGAUCAGAAAAAAUGUUAGAAAUAUUCUGAAGACUGAAUGGUAUUUAUAGGCAAGAAUAAUAUAUUCUGAAAGGUUGCUACCCUUUCAGAAUUGACACGGCCAUUAAUGGAAGGUUGCAAACUUUCAAAUGGUAUUGACUGUUCCUGAAAGUUGCAACCUUUCAGAACAGUCAUGGCGGGAAAUUUUGAAUAUAACGGAAUUUAAAACGGGUUACUCGCGCGGAUCCGAGUCGGGUCGGGUUAAUUAAAGAGUUGAAAACAUUUCGGUUAAAUUCUGUUAUCAACUAAUUUAUUGAAAAUAAUUUUUGGCAAAUUAAUUAAUAAAUAAUUAAAAUAAAUUUUGUCCAAAAAAUUAUCUCUCGAUCGAUCAUUUGCAAAAGCCAAAGCCAAAGCCGAAGCGAGCGAGCGACGACGACGACGGCGCGAGGGGGGUCCCUCUUUCCAACCCUUUUAAUAAUUAAUAGGAGUGUUUAUUUAUUUAAACUCUCCUAUUUUCAUUUCCAUUACCGAAGAGGGACUAUUGCCUUUUUCAAUAAAGCAUUAGAGGACUUUUCAAGUUUCCAACCUUUCAAGUUCUAAACUUUUCAAAUUCCUCUCCUUCCCUCUAUUUCCCAUCAAUUCUUGCUACAUACCCAACAAUCCCCCACAUUGAUGGGGAAUAGUUAUAACAUAGGAAUGCACGGACAAUUGUUUACUUUACUAGCAAGGAUUAAUUGCAUCUGGAUAAGUAGGUUUCCCCUUGGACUUUCCGUAGUGAACAUAUGUUAGAUAUACUCGGUCAAUCGGUAGAUGUGAUAUCUUUGAACCGUUGAACUUUGGUGUAUACCUAGACAACCAUAUGUCACACAAUUAACCCUUUACUGUUUAUGAUUCUUACGGUUGUGUUCGUUUCAGCCAUGAACACCUCCUGGUUUCAUGAGUGUAUAAAGAAUAGGCUUUUGACAUAAAAUUCUCUAAGCGACUUUCACUUCACACUCACAUAGGUGAUUUCUAACCGUGUCAUCUCGUAGAUACACUAUUUUGUCAAAUCUACCAAACUUAGCAAAUCAUUAAAAACUUUAAGCUUUAUUACCUCAUUAACAAGCCUUAAAGUCUUAACCUUUUCCUGAACAUUGUCUUCAUCAUGAGAAUAGAUUGAGUUAAUUGACAAUGUCGAACCGUCAGCCACAACUUUGUUUUUCUCCUUGAAUCUAGCUCUUGGGAUCUCCAGUCUGCUACAUAGAGUUACCGUCAUGCUGACUUGUCCUAAGCCGUAAACCCAUUCCCUUAGAUGAUCUUUCAACUGCCUCUCUCACUAGGCCUUUCUUUAGUGAAUCUGACACAUUAUCGUUUGACUUUACAUAGUCAAUUGUGAUAAUUCCACUAGAGAGCAGUUGUCUUAUGGUGUUAUGUCUACGUCGUAUAUGACGAGACUUCCCGUUGUACAUAACGCUCCCUGCCCUACCUAUUGCUGCUUGACUAUCGCAGUGUAUGUAAAUUGGUCCAACAGGUUUGGGCCAGAAUGGAAUAUCCUCUUCCGGAGCCAUUCCGCUUCUUCACCAGCCUUAUCCAAAGCAAUAAAUUCAGAUUCCAUUGUGGAGCUGGUCGAGAGAGUACGAUACAUCGGUGUAAAAGAUUUCCUUUUUUCUGUGAGCUUGGUUUACUUGACCGAAGGGUGCAGUAGAACUUGAAGGAGAGGAAUAAAUACCUGGUCUAUAAUUUUGACAAAAGGAUUUGGAAGAUUUCCAAGAGACAGCUCCUCCACCAAGUAUGAAUACAUAACCACUCGUGGAUUUUACAUCAUUUGACCUGGUGAUCCAAUUUGCAUCACUAUAUCCUUCAAUCACAGCAGGAUAUUUAUUAUAAUGCAAAGCACAAUGUUGUGUCCAUUUUAAAUAACCCAACAGACGUUUCAUAGCCAUCCAGUGAGUUUGAUUCGGAUUACUAGUGUACCGACUCAGUUUACUAAUAGCACAUGCUAUAUCUGGUCGCGUGCAAUUCAUAAUAUACAUCAAACUUCCCAACACUCUGGCAUAUUCCAAUUGAGAGUCACUUUGACCUUCAUUCUUUUUAAAUGUACAACUUAAAUCAAUUGGAGUUUUGACUACAUUGAAAUUCAAGUAAUUGAACUUAUCCAAUACUUUUUCAAUAUAAUGAGAUUCAGAUAAUGCUAGUCUCUGGGGAGUUUUGAUAAUCCUGACCCCUAAGAUCAAAUCAGCAACUCCUAAGUCUUUCAUAUCGAACUUGCUGGACAACAUGUGCUUAGUAGCAUUUAUAUCGUCAAUUUCUUUACUCAUUAUUAACAUGUCAUCAACAUACAAACAAACAAUGACUUCAUGAUUCAUAACGUUUUUAAUGUAAACACAUUUAUCACAUUCGUUAAUCUUGAAUCCAUUUGCCAACAUAUUUGAUCAAAUUUAGCAUGCCAUUGUUUGGGUGCUUGUUUGAGUCCAUAAAGUAACUUCACAAGUCUGCACGCUUUCUUUUCUUUACCAGGAACUAUAAACCCUUCAGGCUGUUCCAUGUAAAUUUCUUCCUCUAACUCUCCAUUUAAGAAGACUGUCUUUACAUCCAUUUGGUGGAUUUUAAGAUCAUGCACUGCUGCUAGUGCUAUUAACAUCCUAAUUGAUGUUAUCCUUGAUACUGGAGAGUAUGUGUCAAAGUAGUCCAGACCUUCCUUUUGUCUAUACCCUUUGACUAUCAGUCUAGCCUUAUAUUUGUCAAUAGUCCCAUCAGGUCUCAUUUUCCUUUUAAAGAUCCAUUUUGAUCCUAAAGGUUUAUUUCCUGGAGGAAGAUCAGUCAAUUCCCAAGUGUGAUUGCUUAAAAUUGAUUCAAUCUCACUAUUGACUGCUUCUUUCCAAUAAGUUGACUCUGAAGAAGACAUAGCUGCUUUAAAUGUUUAAGGCUCAUUUUCAAGCAAUAGUGCUACAAAAUCUGGUCCAAAAGAAACAAAUUUUCGUUGUCGAGUACUUCGCCUAGGUUCCUCACUAGUUAGAAUAUUUUCCAUUGAUUCUUCUCGUGGUCGUUUAGGUCUUUCACUUGUUGACUCACUUUCAGUUAUAUACGGAUAAAUGUUUUCAAAAAACUCUGCAUUAUCUGAUUCAAUUAUCGUAUUAACAUGAAUCUCAGGAUUAUCAGAUUUGUGAACCAAAAAUUGACAGGUUUUACUAUUCACAGCGUACCCAAUAAAGGCACAAUCUAUUAUUUUGGGUCCAAUUUUAACCCUCUUAGGUAAAGGAACCUCUACCUUGGCUAAACACCCCACACUUUGAAAUAUUUCAAGUUGGGUUUUCUUCCUUUCCACAACUCAUAUGGAAUUGAUUGUGUUUUUUGAUGGGGUACUCUAUUGAGUAUUUUAUUAGUUGUAAGGAUGGCUUCCCCCCAAAGAUUUCGCGGUGAACCAGAAUUGAUCAUUAAGGCAUUCAUCAUUUCCUUUAAUGUUCUAUUCUUCCGUUCUGCCAAACCAUUUGACUGUGGUGUAUAAGGUGCAGUAGUUUGACGAAUAAUACCAUAUUCCAAACAUAUCUCUGCAAAAGGAGAUUCAUAUUCUCCACCCCUAUCACUUCGAAUCAUUUUUAUCUUUAGAUUCAAUUGGUUUUCCACUUCAUUUUUGCAUUGCUUAAAUGCAUCAAUUGCUUCAUCUUUACUAUUAAGCAAAUAUACAUAACAAAAUCGAGUACAGUCAUCAAUAAAAGUUAUAAAGUACUUUUUCCCACCACGAGAUGGUGUUGACUUCAUAUCGCAUAUAUCUGUGUGAAUUAAGUCUAAAGUUUUAGAAUUUCUUUCAACAGACUUGUAAGGAUGUUUAACAAACUUACUUUUCACAGAAAUUUCACAUUUCGACUUAUCGCAUUUAAAAUCAGGCAAUACUUCUAGAUUAACCAAUUUUCGCAAGGCUUUGUAAUUUACAUGUCCCAAACGGGCAUGCCAUAAAUCACUUAACUCCAAUAAGUAAACAGAAGCAGAAUUUUUAUUAAUACUGUCAAUAACCAUUACAUUUAGUUUGAAAAGACCCUCAUUGAGGUAGCCCUUUCCUAUGAACAUUUCGUUCUUACUUAUUACAGCUUUAUCACUAACUAGGACACACUUAAACCCGUUCUUAACGAGUAGUGUAGUAGAAACUAAAUUCUUCCUAAUAGUAGGGACAUGCAGAACAUUGUUUAAAGUCAACACUUUGCCGGAUGUCAUUUUCAACAUUACUUUCCCAGUUCCUGCAAUCCUUGCUGUUGCUGUGUUUCCCAUGAAUAAAUCUUCAUCGUACUCAGCAGGAGUGUACGUUGCAAAGGCUUCUUUUGCAGAGCAAAUAUGUCUAGUAGCACCUGAGUCGAGAAACCACUCCUUGGGAUUUCCAACUAAGUUACACUCUGAUAUCAUUGCACACAAGUCAUCUGCAUCUUCCAUCUUUUCCACUAUUUUUGCUUGACUUUUGCCUUUGCCUUUGUUUUUGUCCUUUCUUGGAGCAUGACAAUCAGAAGAUCUAUGACCAGCCUUGCCACAAUUAUAACAGUUGCCUUUGAAUUUCUUCUUGGCCUGUUCUGACUUCUGCCCGUUGGACUUCUUUCUCUUUUUGUCUUUGGUAGGAUCUUCUUCAACAAUAUUAACUCUAAUGAUUGUUGAACUCUUACGCGACUUCUUUUCGGCAUUUCUGUUAUCUUCCUCAAUGUUGAGACGAAUCACAAGAUCUUCAAGCUUCAUUUCUUUACACUUGUGCUUUAGAUAAUUCUUGAAAUCAUUCCACGAAGGAGGCAACUUCUCGAUCAUUGCAGCCACUUGAAAAACUUCAUUUACUACUAUAUCUUCAACAAUCAGAUCGUGGAGAAUAAGUUGGAGUUCCUGCACUUGUGAUCCAACAGUUUUACUAUCUACCAUUUUAUAGUCUAAAAACUUUGCGACCACAAAUUUUUUCAAGCAUGCAUCUUCUGUCUUAUAUUUCUUCUCAAGUGCAUUCCACAACUCUUUUGAAGUUGUUAUUGCACUAUAGACAUUAUAUAAGUCAUCCUCUAAAGCACUCAAAAUGUAACCUUUACAUAGGAAGUCUGAUUGUUUCCAUGCUUCAACAAUCAUAAAUUUUUCCCUGUCUGGCAUAUCAUCAGCAGGUACUGGAGUAUCUUCACUUGUAAAUUUCUGCAGACCAAGAGUGGUAAGCCAGAAAAAUACUCAUUGCCGCCAUCCUUUGAAAUUCACACCUGUGAAUUUACCCGGUUUCUCUGCUUGUGAUACAAGAGUUCGGGUUGGUGCAGCAACAACCACUGUAACACCAGUGUUUUCCAUUUCUGAUAAACAAAAUUGAUACAAUAUAAGUAAGAAAUAAAUUAUAAUUGCAGACUUAAAGGAUUAUAAAAUCACAAAGAUUUUUGUCUCCACCAGAAACACAGAUUUAUAUCUAAUUUCCUUGAGAUUGUUGCCAAUCUGUGUUAAGAAAAACAGAAAUUACUGGUUGUAAUAAAUCAUUCAGAAACACGAAGUAACUGAGAUUUUUAGAACCAGUAAAUAAGAUGAACAGAAAUUUAUUUGUAAAAAAUAAUUUAAUCUGUAAAACUUAUCAGAAUCUGGAAUACUCUUUUGAAAAAAUUCAGGAAGAAAAUCAAGUCCACUGAAUUCACAGUGUCCCCUUAAGGAAAUUAUUCCCCUCUAGUAUCCGAGGUUUGAUUUGGAAUAUAACCUCCCAGGGUAAAAUGAUCUUAAUCAGUAGAGUAUAGAUACCAAAAAACUCUACUGUCUGCGAAUCAAUCCACAUCAGGAAAGUACACGAAGAAAUAUAUGUGUUUUUAAGAAGAAGGAAGAUCAGAAAAAAUGUUAGAAAUAUUCUGAAGACUGAAUGGCAUUUAUAGGCAAGAAUAAUAUAUUCUGAAAGGUUGCUACCCUUUCAGAAUUGACACGACCAUUAAUGAAAGGUUGCAAACUUUCAAAUGGUAUUGACUGUUCCUGAAAGUUGCAACCUUUCAGAACAGUCAUGGCGGGAAAUUUUGAAUAUAACAGAAUUUAAAACAGGUCACUCGCGCGGAUCCGAGUCGGGUCGGGUUAAAUUCUGUUAUCAACUAAUUUAUUGAAAAUAAUUUUUGGCCAUUUAAAUUAAUUAAUAAAUAAUUAAAAUAAAUUUUUUUCAAAAAAUUAUCUCUCGAUCAUUUGCCAAAGCCAAAGCCAAAGCCAAAGCCGAAGCCGAAGCCGAAGCGACGACGCGAGAGGGUCCCUCUUUCCAACCCUUUUAACAAUUAAUAAGAGUGUUUAUUUAUUUAAACUCUCCUAUUUUCAUUUCCAUUAACGAUAAGGGACUAUUUCCUUUUUCAAUAAAGCAUUAAAGGACUUUUCAAGUUCCCAACCUUUCAAGUUCUAAACUUGGGAAAAUACCCAAGUACCCCCUCAACCUAUGCCCGAAAUCCCAGAGACACACUUAUACUAUACUAAGGUCCUAUUACCCCUCUGAACUUAUUUUAUAUGUAAUUUUCUACCCCUUUUUAGCCUACGUGGCACUAGUUCGAAAAAAAAUAGUCAACCAUCGUUGGGCCCACAAGAUAGUGCCAUGUAAGCUAAAAAGGGGUAAAAAAUUAUUAAUAAAAUAUGUUUAGGGGGGUAAUAGGACCUUAGUAUAGUAUAAGUGUGUCUUUGAGAUUUCAGGCAUAGGUUAAGGGGGUACUUGGGCAUUAUCCCUCUAAACUUUUCAAAUUCCUCUCCUUUCCUCUAUUUCCCAUCAAUUCUUGCUACAUAUCCAACAAGCACUACUAUAGGCUCACCAUGAUCUACAAUAUUUUUUUGGCAUUAAGAAGUCAUUUAAAAUGAAUCUGGUGAGUUUUUUAGUCUUCCAUAUGUUGCACAUGAAGAUAUUGGUGAUAUGAUUUUCGAUCGAUUUAUUAGUGAAGUCCUUUUUGGGUAUGGUUAGGAGUCCUAUUUGGGGAUCAAGUUAUAUUUCCCCUAUAAAUAAAGAGAUUUUACUUCGUUGUAAAUUAGAUCUAUGAAUAUCUAAAUAUCAAUCAAGAGAAUAUGAAAUCUUCUUUCUUCUCCCUACUUUAUUCUUCUCAUUGUUUUAUAUAGUUUCAUAACAAAUUUUCUUUUUAGGCUCAAGUCAUCGCUAGCCCGUUAAAGUUGUCCGCAUAAUUUAUCUAGACACCUCAACCGAGAGUUGUACCUACUGCACACAUAUACUUUCUCGAAUUUGAACCAUCACAACAUUUUUUGCCUACAUAGCAUAUUAUUUCUUAAUGUUGUGUUUUGAGGUUAAAUUGAUGUAGAUUUGUCUCUUCUCAUCAAAAUGGAACGAAGAAAACAAUUAAAAUAUUAAUUUUUAUUACCUAUGGCCAAUUCUACCACAACUCGUAAAAAAUAACAAUAAAUUUCAUCCCUUUUCUUAAGUUCUCUGUUGUUGCUGAUGAACCAAGAAGGUUCAAAAAUAUCAUAAUUACAAAGAUGGGUUGUUGUGUUGGGGUGGGGCACUGUAAAACAGAAGAAGGAGAGGAGUUUUGGACUCCCAUGAAAUGACAGGGUAUUUACAAGAUUUAUUUUUUAAAAUAAUUUUCUUUUUCUUUUAUAAUAUAUUUUUUUUAAAAAAUUUGGACUCAAAAUACCAGAUGUCAGUAUUUAAUUCGUUAAAUUGUCAUAUUUUCACACACUUUGAAAUUUUAGUUUAUUGUAAAAAAUUGUUCAACUGGUUCAAAUUUGUAGGGGUAGAGGCGUUAAAUAGAUACAAGUCUUAGUUGAGAUGCCUAAGUGAAUUACACAAACAAAUUUAAGGAGUCGUCAAUGGCUUAAGUCUUUCUUUUAUCAUGUUCAAAUUUUAAAAUCAAAACAUGGGACACCAAUCGGCAAAUGACAAGGUUCCUCAAGAAUUUGAGUUCUAAUGAAAAACGGUGAUUGUGAGCUAAUUUUAGCUCUUCCUUUUUAAACAAUCUUCACUAAUUACUUCUAGAUGUCUGGGUAACAUUUUGAGUAAAGAUUUUUGAAUUCAAAAUCUCAUUUUCAGAAUUGAGAUUUUGAAAAGAUUUGACCCAUUUUUUCAGAAUGUAUGAUAAGUCUGGGGAACGGACCAAAAAGGGACCACCGAAACGGAACGGGAUGAGUUAAUCGGUUUGUUGAUCGUUAUUGGAAUGAACCGGAUCGGAAUUAUCGGGACGGAUACUGGUUCCAUCCCGUCCCACUAUAUACGGGGAUCAAACCGGAACGAAAAGGGACGACACAUCUAGUUAUUUCAAAAAAUAAUUUUUUUGAAUUACAAAAUUAUAAAAAAAAAAUUAUUUUAUAAGUUUAAUAGUUUUUUUAUAAUGUAAUUUUUUAUUUAAGUUUAUUUUAAAGAUAAUUUUUAAAAAAAAUUAUUUACUAAGUUUGCAAGUUAAGUCUAAUUAAGUUUUUAUAAUUGAUUAUUUACAUUGUAUUAUGUUUACCGUGAUGAGAGACAUUGAUAAUUAUGCGGAAGGGAAAAUGUUCAGGAAAGUAAAAUGAUAUAAAGCCGAAGAAAAAUAGUUCCGGCUAGUGAUAUGCAUGAUAGAAAGCCGAAUGAGAAUUAUUUCGGCUAGUGAUAUUGUGUCGAAGGAAAAUGGUCUCGACAAGUAACAUGAUAUAAAAUAAAACAAAAAUGAUUUCGACUAGUGAUAUUGUGAAGGGAAAUAGUUUCGGUAAGUGGUUCUAUAUAAAACCAAAAGAAAAUGGUUCCGGCCAAUUAUAUUGUAUCGAUGGAAAAUGACUAUGGGAAGUGUUUGAUUAUUAUGAUUCGAUGAACCUAAUACUUGUAUUUAAUUGAUCUACUUGAUACUUGUAAUUGAUCUACUUAAUGUUUGUUAUUGACAUACUUUAUACUUGUUGGUUGACGAACAAUGACUGUUAGCUAUGAUUGAUAAUGCUUGAGUACUGUGAAUUGUAAAACUGUAACAUCUCGCAAUUUGAAAUAGUUAGAAAGAAGCUAAGAACUUGAAAUAAUCAUUUUGAAAAUAAUGACAAAUCUGGAAAUUUGUUAAAUUAGGAAAAAUGAGUUUUUGGUCAGCUUCAAAUGGUGAUAACUCCUAGCUCAGAAUGAGUUAGGUGUAUUUCUAGAUAUGGUUACAAAGAUCUUGGAAUGAUUUUUCCAAUGCCGUCGAGUUUGUGCAAUUCUGAGUUCGUAUAAGUGAGAUAUGUCAUUUGAAAGUUAGGGGUUGGAAUAAAGAAAUGUCAAAUCCGAAGUUUUAAGGGGUAUUUUAGUCUUUUCAUUGUCCUAUUAUUUUAAUCCAUUUUUAGGAGUUUAAGAUGUCAAAUAAGAAGUUAUUUAGUUUUUUAGCAAUUUGAAAUUUACGCAGGCUUUGAGAAAGGAGAAAAAGGGAGAAACAAAAAGAAAGGGCAAGAUUCAUCAAUAUCGAUCAAUCGAGUUGUAUUUUCGCCAAGGAUUUAUUUUUAUGAGGUAUGUGAGGUUUUCAUAACGUUAGGAUCGUUCUCCCACGUGUCAAAAUAUUUACCACAAUAUGGAUUCGCCCUAAAUUCAAAAUCUCAUUUUCAGAAUUGAGAUUUUGAAAUGAUUUGACCAAUUUUUCAAAAUGUAUGCUAAGACUGGGGAACGGACCAAAACGGGACCACUGGAACCGAACGAGAUGAGUUAAUCGGUUCGUUGAUCGGUAUUGGAAUGAAUCGGAUUGGAAUUACCAGGACGGAUACUGGUUCCAUCGCGUCCCACUAUACACCGGGAUGAAAUCGGAACGGGACGACACAUCUAGUUAUUUCAAAAAAUAUUUUUUUUGAAUUACGAAAUUAUGAAUAUUUUUUUUAUUUUUCUAAGUUUAAUAGUUUUAUUUAUAAUGUAAUUUUUUAUUUAAGUUUAUUUUAAAGAUAUUUUAAAAAAAUUAUUUACUAAGUUUGCAAGUUAAGUCUAAUUAAGUUUUCAAGAUUUAAAUAUUUUGCAGUUUAUAAGUAAUUACUUAUUAUUUAUUAAUAUGUCAUAACUUAUAAUCUCUCUCUCUCUCUCUCUCUCUAUAUAUAUAUAUAUAUAUAUAUAUAUAUAUAUUGUAAUUUUAGAAAACUAAAUAAAAAUAAGGAUAAAACAAUUACACAAACUAAUUUAUAAAUAUAUAAUAUAAAUGAAUUAAUAAAUAUUAAUUAAUCGAAACCUGAAUAUACCGGGAUAAAUCGGUACUGAUACAUCGGUAUGAAAACUUCGGGUCCAUUUUGUUCUCUGUACCGGUGCAGGAUGUCUCGUUCCUUUUCGUAGGCGUCGUACCGGGAUCGGUAAAUCCCGUGCCGUUGCCCAGCCUUAAUAUAUGCUAUGAAAGUUGUUACUUUUUUUUAAUAUUACUGUGACUACUUGAUUGAAUUAGACUGUGUGGCUUUGAAUAUUGUUCGAUAAGAGAAGGUUCAAGUCUUGAAUUGACUGUUGGUUUAAUUGAGGCAAGUAAACUUCUAAACUUGAUCAUAGAACUUAUGGAAUCUUGUAUUUUAAUUAUGUCUAUUGGGGAGUAACGGUUUUGAGGUGAUUUAAUUGAUGGCAUUAUCAUGGACUUGAAUUGCUUGAGUUAUUGUUUCUUUCUUAUGGUGUGGAGUUGAUUAUUUACAUUGUAUUAUGUUUACCGUGAUGAGAGACAUUGAUGAUUACGCGGAAGGGAAAAUGUUCAGGAAAGUAAAAUGAUAUAAAGCCGAAGGAAAAUAGUUCCGGCUAGUGAUAUGCAUGAUAGAAAGCCGAAUGAGAAUUAUUUCGGCUAGUGAUAUUGUGUCGAAGGAAUAUGGUCCCGACAAGUAACAUGAUAUAAAAUAAAAGGAAAAUGAUUUCGACUAGUGAUAUUGUGAAGGGAAAUAGUUUCUGUAAGUGGUUCUAUAUAAAACCAAAAGAAAAUAGUUCCGGCCAAUUAUAUUGUAUCGAUGGAAAAUGACUAUGGGAAGUGUUUGAUUAUUAUGAUUCGAUGAACCUAAUACUUGUAUUUAAUUGAUGUACUUGAUACUUGUAAUUGAUCUGCUUAAUAUUUGUUAUUGACAUACUUUAUACUUGUUGGUUGACGAACAAUGAAUGUUAGCUAUGAUUGAUAAUGCUUGAGUACUGUGAAUUGUAAAACUGUAACAUCUCGCAAUUUGAAAUAGUUAGAAAGAAGCUAAGAACUUGAAAUAAUCAUUUUGAAAAUAAUGACAAAUCUGGAAAUUUGUUAAAUUAAGAAAAAUGAGUUUUUGGUCAGCUUCAAAUGGUGAUAACUCCUAGCUCAAAAUUAGUUAGGUGUAUUUCGAGAUAUGGUUUCAAAGAUCUUUGAACGAUCUUUCCAAUGCCGCCGAGUUUGCGCAUUUCUAAGUUCGUAUAAGUGAGAUAUGUCAUUUGAAAGUUGGGAAGUUGGAAAAAAGAAAUGUCAAAUCCAAAUUUUUAAGGGGUAUUUUAAUCUUUUCAUUGUCCUAUUAUUAUAAUCCAUUUUUAGGAGUUUAAGAUGGGUCAAAUCAGAAGUUAUUCAGGUUUUUUAGUAAUUUGAAAUUUACGCGGGCUUGGAGAAAGGAGAAAAGGGAGAAACAAGAAGAAAGGGCAAGAUUCAUAAAGAUCGAUCAAUCGAGUUGUGUUUUCGCCAUGGAUUUAUUUCUAUAAGGUAUUUGAGGUUUUCAUAACGUUAGGAUCGUUCUCCCAUGCGUCAAAAUAUUUAUCACAGUAUGGAUUCGCCCUAAAAGAAAUUGAUAGUUUAUGAUCUUGGUACCUAUUCUUGAUUUUGAUGUUGUUCUGGAAUUUGUUUGAUUUAAGAAGUUUCUGCAAUUGUUACGUCAUAUUAUAGAGUCGUUUCGAGUUAGGUUCUUAGGUGCAUUGUUGGGUAUUUGUAUCUAAAAAGGAUUUGAGAAAAAGGAUCGAGUUUGGGUGAACUGGGGCUGAAAAACGAAGAAGAAACUUCAUCGAACGAAAUUUUAACAUGGUGGCGCGUCGCGCAACAACUCUCUAGACUUGGGAAUUUCUUAUUCAUGACGCUGAGCUGGCACGAGGUGGUCUGCCUCAAAAUAUGUUUUCGAAACCAAAAUCUAAAUACCAACUCUCCGCAUCGCGGAUCCACCCUUAAAUCUUGAUAAUUCUAUUUUUUCCCUCAUGUUUAGCUAUCUAAAAUCAUUCCUAAACAUCAUGAGAUUUUUCCAAUGACAAAUCACCAUUCAUGAAUCCGUAAUUCAACUCAAAGAUUUGUUAAGAGUCAAAUUCAAGAGAAGUCAAGAGUCAAUUUAAGAUAAGUUCUUAAAGUUUUUUUUUUUCAAAAGUCUUUAUAAACGCUUUAACUUUGUUUUCAAACUUAAGUUUCAAGUUAAGCAAAGAGUAAGGAGUUGAGUUCAUUUCUCAAAAAUUUAUAAGGGAACUAAGUAUUCCCAAAGAGUUUAUAAAUAUUUUCAUGUUUUAGUAAGAAAACGAAACAUCGAUCCCUAGAUCUUUUAAGCUAAGUUUUGAGUAAUUAUCUCAAUCCAAAGAAAGAAGUUUCGUUUUUUAAAACAUAUGAGCUAAGUAUAUUAGAACACCAAUAUGGGGAUGCAAGUUCAUAUUAACUCAAGGCUCCAAAAACAAUGUAAUCAUCAUGGGUAUUAAAGGAUCAUUCUUUUUAGAUAACUUCUUAAGAUAAUUUUAGCACAGACUAGUGAAUCCACUUAGUGAGUUAGGUUUUAUACCCUCGGCAAGGUAUAUGAAGGCCCUUGGCAGCGUAAGGUAAAACAUUGUACCAUCACUUAAACUCAUAGUGGUGAGUUUCGGUUAGAGAUUGAUCUCCCAAAGAAACUAUAUUACUUUGUUAUAUAAGUAUGAGUUUGUUAUCGCACUUCCUUUAAUGAACUAAGAUAUUUUCCACUGUUUUUUACCAGUUUACAUAUAUUGCAUGUGUUUUAUCGCCUUAUAUUGAGUUUGUUAAUAAUGAGUUGAGAAGAUCCAAGGUAAGUGUUUCUUCCAUAUUCUUUUCAAGCCUAUGUAUUGUUAGAAUUUCAACUACAUACUUGUACAUUCAAUACUGAUGCCAGUGGUCUGCAUCAUCUUAUGAUGUAGAUACAGAUAACCAGGAUCAGCAUCCAGCGCCACGUUGAUCAGGUUCAACACUUAGAGUAAGUUGGUGUGUCUCCUUGCAUUGCGGAGGACCCUUCUUAUCAUUGCUUUUUAGUUUUCAGUUGUUAGGAUGAACUAGGGUCCUGUCCCGACAUCCCUCUUUAUUUUCGAGGCUUCAUAGACAAAUACUUAUGGUUCUUUAGUGUUAUUCAUCUCAGUUGUAUUCGUUUAAGACUUGAGUUGCCAUUUUGGCUAAGGUAUUAUUAAGUGUUGAAUGCCUUGAAUCAAUUCUGUCUGUUUGGCCCAAGCCUGUUAGGGCGUAGCUUAGCACUAUCUAUAGACGCUAUGGCAAACCCUAUUUUGUAUUCUGUUUUUGCCUCUCCAUAAUAAAACUGCUCCCUCUCUUCCCCGUGGACGUAGCCAAUUUAUUGGUGAACCACGUAAAUCUGUUGUCCUGUUUUUCGCGUUUAUAUUUUCUCGUAUUAUCUCAAAUUCCGCAUAACAAAUUGGUAUCAGAGCCUCUUGGUUAAUCGGUGUUUCUUUUGGAUAAUUCGAGAUGUCUGCUUUGAACAUGAAAAUUGACAAAUUCACAGGGAGGAACAGUUUCAGUUUAUGGCAGAUCAAGAUGCGGGCUUUGUUUAAACAGCAAGGCUUCUGGGCACCGUUGUCGAAAGACAAGAACGCUGUCGUUACUCCUGAGAUGGCGAUUCUGGAGGAAAAGGCGCACUCGACGAUCAUGUUGUGUCUCGCAGAUGACGUCAUCACGGAGGUCUCGGAUGAAGACUGCUGCUGGUCUGUGGUUGAAGCUGGAGAGUUUGUACAUGAAAAAAUCUCUAACCAACAAGCUGCUUCUAAAACAGCGUCUAUUCGAUUUACGAAUGGCUGAAGGUACACAACUCAGGGAACAUUUAGAGCAAUUGAAUACUUUGUUACUAGAAUUGCGUAAUAUCGAUGUGAAGAUCGAGGAUGAAGAUGCUGCCUGAUUCUGUUAGUAUCUCUCCCAAUGUCGUUUGAGAAUUUUGUUCAAUCGUUCAUUGUUGGGAAAGAUACUGUGUCACUGGAAGAAGUCAGAUCGGCCCUUCAUAGCAGGGAAUUACGGCAUAAGGCUAACGACACAAGUACAGACAUACAACCUUCCGGUCUGUUCACCAGCAGCGAAAAGGGAAGGAAAAAUGGCAGAAAGAAAAAGAAGCCGAUGUCGAAGGGUGCAAAGCCAGAUGAUGUUUGUAAUUACUGCAAGGAGAAGGGACACUGGAAAUUUGAUUGUCCAAAGAAGAAGAAGCAAUUGAAAAAACAAUCAGUUUCUACUGCUGUUGCGGAAGAAGACACCAAUUCUGAAGAAGACAUUGCCCUAGUCGCGGAUGAGCACACUCAUCAUUCAGAUGUGUGGAUUCUCGAUUCUGGGGCAUCCUAUCACAUUUGUCCUAGGAGAGAGUGGUUCACGACUUAUACGCAGGUAGAUGGAGGCAGCAUCUCGAUGGCCAACAGCUUUGUCUGCAAGGUGGUUGGGACAGGCUCGAUCAAGAUAAGGACACAUGAUGGUAGCUUCUGCACAUUGAACGAGGUCAGGCACGUUCCAUUGAUGAUGAAAAAUCUGAUAUCUCUCAGUCUUUUUGAUAGUAAGGGAUUUACCUGGUCGGGAAAAGAUGGAGUCUUGCAGGUCUGGAAGGGUUCAAAUUUGAUUCUGAAAGGUGUCAUGCGUGGUACUUAGUAUUUUCUACAAGGUUCCACGAUUACAGGUUCAGCCCAUGUUGCAUCGUCAGAAGUUCACCAGAAGGAUAUGACUAAGUUAUGGCACAUGAGACUUGGUCAUAUGGGUGAAAAAGGGAUGCAAAUUCUAUCAAAGGAGGAUCUUCUUGCUGGUCAUAAGGUUAAGAGCCUAGAGUUUUGUGAACAUUGUGUCUUUGGAAAACUACAUCGCAACAAGUUUCCAAAGGCCAUUCACAGAACAAAAGGCACACUUGAUUAUAUCCAUUCUGAUUGAUGGGGUCCAUGCCGUGUUGAGUCUUUGGGAGGCUGCUAUUCUUUGUGUCCAUUAUUGAUGACUACUCAAGGAUGACUUGGGUGUACACGAUGAAGCAUAAAAGUGAAGCUUUCCAGAAGUUCAAGGAGUGGAAAAUUUUGAUGGAAAAUCAAAUAGGGAAGAAGAUCAAGAGGUUGCGAACUGAUAAUUCUGCUGGUCUGAAUUUGAUCAAUUCUGUAAGGAUGAAGGUAUUGCUCGACAUCGUACAGUCAGAAAUACACCACAGCAGAACGGUGUAGCUGAGCAGAUGAAUCAAACACUUCUGUAGAGAGCAAGGUGCAUGCUCUCUAAUGCUGGGCUAGAUAGAAGAUUCUGGGCAGAAGCGGUUAGUACAAUUUGCGACUUGAUUAACCGCGGACCACACACAGGCAUACAGUGCAAGGCACCUAUGGAGAUGUGGUCAGGAAAAGCUGCUGAUUAUUCAAAUCUGAAAGCUUUUGGUUGUACGGCUUACUAUCAUGUCAGUGAAGGUAAGUUAGAACCAAGAGCUAAAAAGGGAGUAUUUGUGGGCUACGGAGAUGGAGUGAAAGGUUUCAGAAUCUGGUCUCCAGCAGAAAAGAGGGUUAUUAUGAGCAGGAACGUUGUCUUUGAUGAAAGUUCUCUGCUUAGAACCAUUGUGAAGCCUACAACUACGUCGGAAACUGGGAGUCUUAAUAAACAGGUGGAGUUUCAAGUCAUUCAGAACGAGAGCGAUUUGAAAGAACCUGAAAAGGAGGAUCAAGAGCCACAGACAGAAACUGAUAUUCCAGAAUCUAUGUCAUCAGAUAUCCAUCAGAGUAUAGCUCAAGAUCGGCCAAGGAGGGUUGGAGUUCGGCCACCUACGAGGUAUGGUUUUGAGGACAUGGUGGGUUAUGCACUGCAGGUUGCUGAAGAAGUAGAUACAUCUGAGCCGUCUACUUACAAAGAAGCCAUUUUUAAGUCCUGAUUCUGAAAAAUGGUUUGCUGCUAUGGGAGAUGAGAUGGAGUCCCUACACAAGAAUCAGACAUGGAAUCUGGUCAUACAGCCUUCGGGGAGAAAGAUUAUUACUUGCAAAUGGGUUUUCAAGAAGAAGGAAGGGAUAUCACCAGCAGAAGGAGUCAAGUAUAAAGCCAGGGUUGUUGCCAGAGGUUUCAACCAAAGAGAGGGAGUGGACUACAAUGAGAUCUUCUCACCAGUGGUCAGACAUACUUCCAUCCGAUUGUUACUAGCGAUAGUUACACAUCAGAAUCUGGAGCUUGAACAACUUGAUGUGAAGACAGCAUUUCUACAUGGAGAGUCGGAGGAAGAGAUAUACAUGACUCAGUCGGAUGGUUUCCAAGUUCCAGGGAAGGAAAAUCACGUCUGCAAGUUGAAGAAGUCCUUAUAUGGACUUAAGCAGUCUCCAAGGCAGUGGUACAAAAGGUUUGACAGCUAUAUGGUGAAGUUGGGCUAUACUCGGAGCUCAUAUGAUUGUUGUGUCUACUACAAUAGGCUCAAGGAUGAUUCAUUCAUCUAUCUGGUGCUUUAUGUAGAUGAUAUGUUGAUAGCUGCAAAGAAGAAGUAUGACAUUCAAAAGCUGAAGGGUUUACUUAGUGCUGAGUUUGAGAUGAAGGAUCUGGGAGCCGCUCGGAAGAUUCUAGGGAUGGAGAUCAUUAGAGACAGAGAGAGAAGGAAACUUUUCUUGUCACAGAGAAGUUACAUUCAGAAGGUCUUGGCGAGGUUUGGCAUGUCUUCAUCUAAGCCUAUUGAUACCCCCAGUGCUGUCAAUAUCCAUCUCACUGCCAUGUUCGCUCCACAGUCAGAAGAAGAGAAAGAGUAUAUGUCACGAGUCCCUUAUGCCAGUGCCGUAGGAAGUUUGAUGUAUGCUAUGGUCUGUACAAGGCCAGAUUUAGCACAUGCAGUCAGUGUAGUGAGCAGAUUCAUGGGACAACCAGGGAGAGAACAUUGACAGGCUGUGAAGAGAAUUUUCCGGUACCUUAGAGGUACAUCUAACGUUGGUCUCAUUUAUGGAGGUGAUACUCAGUGCUUGGUUACUGGCUAUUCUGAUUCUGACUAUGCUGGAGAUGUUGACACAAGAAGAUCGAUGGCUGGCUAUGUGUUUACCCUUGGAGGAUCUGUCAUCAGUUGGAAGGCAACUUUGCAACCUACAGUGACUUUGUCUACUACGGAAGCGGAGUACAUGGCCUUGACAGAGGCUGCAAAAGAAGGGAUUUGGCUGAAAGGGCUGGUUAGUGAUCUUGGUCUGCAUCAUGAUCAGGCUACGGUGUAUUGUGACAGUUUGAGCACAAUUUGUCUAGCAAAGGAUCAAGUCCAUCAUGAGAGAACCAAGCAUAUUGACGUAAGGUAUCAUUUUUUGAGAAGUGAGAAGAGAAUCAAGGUGAAGAAAGUAGGCACUGCUGAUAAUUUGUCACCUUCUUUUUAUGUGAUUUUCAAUGUGAUUUUUUGUGUGUGAAAUUUUAACGGCUAAACCGACAACAGAAUCGACAACAAUCAAUAACUAAUAAAUUCAUAUUUUAAUGGUUCUAAAAUGGUUUAGUUUUAGACAAUGGUGAACCCAUAAUUUGAAGUACUUGUGUGCACUAAUAUAAACAUAGCUCAAAUAUGAGGGCUAAGAUAAACUUAAAAUAAAAACAAUAAAAAACAAGCUUGAGUAGGAUUUGAACCCUAAUUAAGAGGGUGGUAUCUCUAGCUUCAACCAAUUGCAUAAGGACACUUCUAUGUUUUUUAUGGGUACACUGUUAAGUUUAUCCUAAUUUCUAUCAAUUUUUCAAAAUAGAUAUACCUAUAUACGUAUAAUUUUUUUGGAAUUUAGCGGGUGCACGUGCACCCUCUCCAUAUAGUGUGGGUGCGCCCCUGGUUUUAGACUCUUAGUUUGAUGUUUCAAAUGGCUCGGGCUUGGCGAGGGAUUUACGUUAUAAUGACAUCCUAAAUGAAAUUUUUUUUCCUACGUGUAUUUUGUCAUGUAGGACUCAUAUGUCUACUUUUUCAAACUUAUACAAGUUUAAGUGACUACUUGUGCAUACACAAAGUUAAAGGGCACAAUUGUAAAAUGAGGUCAAGUUAAAAGGCGGAUAUAUGUAUUACGCCCCAAUAAAAUGGUCUUCUUGGAAUUACUUUAAAAUAUGAAAAUAUUUUUGAAAACACCAUGAUCCAUGAUUUUAUUUUGAUACUUAGUAGUCAUUUAAGUAAAAUUAGGCAUUUUACCCAAAUUAAGCGAUUUUUCUAAUUUUUUGUUGAUAUUAUUGCUUCACUUGAUUCUUUUGAAAAAUCUUUACGGUACCCUUUGUAAUGAGUUGGGGAGCAGUGUUGCCAAUCUGUGUUAAGAAAAACAAAAAUUACUUGUUGUAAUAAAUCAUUUAGAAACACGAAGUAACUGAGAUUUUUAGAACCAGUAAAUAAGAUGAACAGAAAUUUAUUUGUAAAAAAUAAUUUAAUCUGUAAAACUUACCAGAAUCUGGAAUACUCUUUUGAAAAAAUUCAGGAAGAAAAUCAAGUCCACUGACUUCACAGUGUCCCCUUAAGGAAAUUAUUCCCCUCUAGUAUCCGAGGUUUGAUUUGGAAUAUAACCUCCCAGGGUAAAAUGAUCUUAAUCAGUAGAGUAUAGAUACCAAAAACUCUACUGUCAGCGAAUCAAUCCACAGCAGGAAAGUACACGAAGAAAUAUAUGUGUUUUUAAGAAGAAGGAAGAUCAGAAAAAAUGUUAGAAAUAUUCUGAAGACUGAAUGGUAUUUAUAGGCAAGAAUAAUAUAUUCUGAAAGGUUGCUACCCUUUCAGAAUUGACACGACCAUUAAUGGAAGGUUGCAAACUUUCAAAUGGUAUUGACUGUUCCUGAAAGUUGCAACCUUUCAGAACAGUCAUGGCGGGAAAUUUUGAAUAUAACGGAAUUUAAAACGGGUCACUCGCGCGGAUCCGAGUCGGGUCGGGUUAAUUAAAGAGUUGAAAACAUUUCGGUUAAAUUUUGUUAUCAACUAAUUUAUUGAAAAUAAUUUUUGGCAAAUUAAUUAAUAAAUAAUUAAAAUAAAUUUUGUCCAAAAAAUUAUCUCUCGAUCGAUCAUUUUCAAAAGCCAAAUCCAAAGCCGAAGCGAGCGAGCGACGACGACGACGGCGCGAGGGGGGUCCCUCUUUCCAACCCUUUUAACAAUUAAUAGGAGUGUUUAUUUAUUUAAACUCUCCUAUUUUCAUUUCCAUUAUCGAUGAGGGACUAUUGUCUUUUUCAAUAAAGCAUUAGAGGACUUUUCAAGUUCCCAACCUUUCAAGUUCUAAACUUUUCAAAUUCCUCUCCUUCCCUCUAUUUCCCAUCAAUUCUUGCUACAUACCCAACAAUCCCCCCACAUUGAUGGGGAAUAGUUAUAACAUAGGAAUGCACGGACAAUUGUGUACUUUACAAGCAAGGAUUAAUUGCAUCUGGAUAAGUAGGUUUCCCCUUGGACUUUUCGUAGUGAACAUAUGUCGGAUAUACUCGGUCACUUCGGUAGAUGUGAUAUCUUUGAACCGUCGAACAUUGGUGUAUACCUAGACAACCAUAUGUCACACAAUUAACCCUUUACUGUUUAUGAUUCUUACGGUUGUGUUCGUUUCAGCCAUGAACACCUCCUGGUUUCAUGAGUGUAUAGAGAAUAGGCUUUUGACAUAAAAUUCUCUUUGAAGCGGCUUCCACUUCACACUCACAUAGGUGAUUUCUAACCGUGUCAUCUCGUAGAUACACUAUUUUAUCAAAUCUACCAAACUUAGCAAAUCAUUAAAACUUUAAGCUUUAUUACCUCAUUAACAAGCCUUAAAGUCUUAACAUUUUCCUGAACAUUGUCUUCAUCAUGAGAAUGGAUUGAGUUAAUUGACAAUGUCGAACCGUCAGCCACAACUUUGUUUUUAUCCUUGAAUCUAGCUCUUGGGAUCUCCAUUCUGCUAGAUAGAGUUACCGUCAUGCUGACUUGUCCUAAGCCGUAAACCCAUUCCCUUAGAUGAUCUUUCAACUGCCUCUCUCACUAGGCCUUUCGUUAGUGAAUCUGACACAUUAUCGUUUGACUUUACAUAGUCAAUUGUGAUAAUUCCACUAUAGAGCAGUUGUCUUAUGGUGUUAUGUCUACGUCGUAUAUGACGAGACUUCCCGUUGUACAUAACGCUCCCUGCCCUACCUAUUGCUGCUUGACUAUCGCAGUGUAUGUAAAUUGGUCCAACAGGUUUGGGCCAGAAUGGAAUAUCCUCUUUCGGAGCCAUUCCGCUUCUUCACCAGCCUUAUCCAAAGCAAUGAAUUCAGAUUCCAUUGUGGAGCUGGUCGAGAGAGUACGAUACUUCGGUGUAAAAGAUUUUCUUUUUUCUGUGAGCUUGGUUUACUUGACCGAAGGGUGCAGUAGAACUCCUAAGUCUUUCAUAUCAAACUUGCUGGACAACAUGUGCUUAGUAGCAUUUAUAUCGUCAAUUUCUUUACUCAUUAUUAACAUGUCAUCAACAUACAAACAAAUAAUGACUUCAUGAUUCGUAACGUUUUUAAUGUAAACACAUUUAUCACAUUCGUUAAUCUUGAAUCCAUUUGCCAACAUUAUUUGAUCAAAUUUAGCAUGCCAUUGUUUGGGUGCUUGUUUGAGUCCAUAAAGUGACUUCACAAGUCUGCACGCUUUCUUUUUUUUACCAGGAACUAUACACCCUUCAGGCUGUUCCAUGUAAAUUUCUUCCUCUAACUCUCCAUUUAAGAAGACUGUCUUUACAUCCAUUUGGUGGAUUUUAAGAUUAUGCACUGCGGCUAGUGCUAUUAACAUCCUAAUUGAUGUUAUCCUUGAUACUGGAGAGUAUGUGUCAAAGUAGUCCAGACCUUCCUUUUGUCUAUACCCUUUGACUAUCAGUCUAGCCUUAUAUUUGUCAAUAGUCCCAUCAGGUCUCAUUUUCCUUUUAAAGAUCCAUUUUGAUCCUAAAGGUUUAUUUCCUGGAGGAAGAUCAGUCAAUUCCCAAGUGUGAUUGCUUAAAAUUGAUUCAAUCUCACUAUUGACUGCUUCUUUCCAAUAAGUUGACUCUGACGAAGACAUAGCUGCUUUAAAUGUUUGAGGCUCAUUUUCAAGCAAUAGUGCUACAAAAUCUGGUCCGAAAGAAACAGAUUUUCGUUGUCGAGUACUUCGCCUAGGUUCCUCACUAGUUAGAAUAUUUUCCAUUGAUUCUUCUCGUGGUCGUUUAGGUCUUUCACUUGUUGACUCACUUUCAAUUAUAUACGGAUAAAUAUUUUCAAAAAAACUCUACAUUAUCUAAUUCAAUUAUCGUAUUAACAUGAAUCUCAGGAUUAUCAGAUUUGUGAACCAAAAAUCGACAGGUUUUACUAUUCACAGCGUACCCAAUAAAGGCACAAUCUAUUGUUUUGGGUCCAAUUUUAACCCUCUUAGGUAAAGAAACCUCUACCUUGGCUAAACACCCCUACACUUUGAAAUAUUUCAAGUUGGGUUUUCUUCCUUUCCACAACUCAUAUGGAAUUGAUUGUGUUUUUCGAUGGGGUACUCUAUUGAGUAUUUUAUUAGUUGUAAGGAUGGCUUCCCCCCAAAGAUUUCGCGGUGAACCAGAAUUGAUCAUUAAGGCAUUCAUCAUUUCCUUUAAUGUUCUAUUCUUCCGUUCUGCCAAACCAUUUGACUGUGGUGUAUAAGGUGCAGUAGUUUAAUGAAUAAUACCAUAUUCCAAACAUAUCUCUGCAAAAGGAGAUUCAUAUUCUCCACCCCUAUCACUCCGAAUCAUUUUUAUCUUUAGAUUCAAUUGGUUUUCCACUUCAUUUUUGCAUUGCUUAAAUGCAUCAAUUGCUUCAUCUUUACUAUUAAGCAAAUAUACAUAACAAAAUUGAGUACAGUCAUCAAUAAAAGUUAUAAAGUACUUUUUCCCACCACGAGAUGGUGUUGACUUCAUAUCGCAUAUAUCUGUGUGAAUUAAGUCUAAAGUUUUAGAAUUUCUUUCAACAGACUUGUAAGGAUGUUUAACAAACUUACUUUCCACAGAAAUUUCACAUUUCGACUAUCGCAUUUAAAAUCAGGCAAUACUUCUAGAUUAACCAAUUUUCGCAAGGCUUUGUAAUUUACAUGUCCCAAACGGGCAUGCCAUAAAUCACUUAACUACAAUAAGUAAACAGAAGCAGAAUUUUUAUUAAUACUGUCAAUAACCAUUACAUUUAGUUUGAAAAGACCCUCAUUGAGGUAGCCCUUUCCUAUGAACAUUUCAUUCUUACUUAUUACAGCUUUAUCACUAACUAGGACACACUUAAACCCGUUCUUAACGAGUAGUGCAGCAGAAACUAAAUUCUUCCUAAUAGUAGGGACAUGCAGAACAUUGUUUAAAGUCAACACUUUGCCGUAUGUCAUAUUCAGCAUUACUUUUCCAGUUCCUGUAAUCCUUGCUGUUGCUGUGUUUUCCAUGAAUAAAUCUUCAUCGUACUCAGCAGGAGUGUACGUUGCAAAGGCUUCUUUUGCAGAGCAAAUAUGUCUAGUAGCACCUGAGUCGAGAAACCACUCUUUGGGAUUUCCAACUAAGUUACACUCUGAUAUCAUUGCACACAAGUCAUUUGUAUCUUCCAUCUUUUCCACUAUUUUUGCUUGACUUUUGCCUUUGCCUUUGUUUUUGUCCUUUCUUGGAGCAUGACAAUCAGAAGAUCUAUGACCAGCCUUGCCACAAUUAUAACAGUUGCCUUUGAAUUUCUUCUUGGCCUGUUCUGACUUCUGCCCAUUGGACUUCUUUCUCUUUUUGUCUUUGGUUGGAGCUUCUUCAACAAUAUUAACUCCAAUGAUUGUUGAACUCUUACGCGACUUCUUUUCGGCAUUUCUGUUGUCUUCCUCAAUGUUGAGACGAAUCACAAGAUCUUCAAGCUUCAUUUCUUUAUGCUUGUGCUUUAGAUAAUUCUUGAAAUCAUUCCACGAAGGAGGCAACUUCUCGAUCAUUGCAGCCACUUGAAAAACUUCAUUUACUACCAUAUCUUCAGCAAUCAGAUCGUGGAGAAUAAGUUGAAGUUCCUGCACUUGUGAUCCAACAGUUUUACUAUCUACCAUUUUAUAGUCUAAAAACUUUGCGACCACAAAUUUUUUCAAGCAUGCAUCUUCUGUCUUAUAUUUCUUCUCAAGUGAAUUUCACAACUCUUUUGAAGUUGUUAUUGCACUAUAGACAUUAUAUAAGUCAUCCUCUAAAGCACUCAAAAUGUAACCUUUACAUAGGAAGUCUGAUUGUUUCCAUGCUUCAACAAUCAUAAAUUUUUCCCUGUCUGGCAUAUCAUCAGCAGGUACUGGAGUAUCUUCACUUGUAAAUUUCUGCAGACCAAGAGUGGUAAGCCAGAAAAAUACUCGUUGCUGCCAUCCUUUGAAAUUCCCACCUGUGAAUUUAUCCGGUUUCUCUGCUUGUGAUACAAGAGUUCGGGUUGGUGCAGCAACAACCACUGUAACACCAGUGUUUUCCAUUUCUAAUAAACAAAAUUGAUACAAUAUAAGUAAGCAAUAAAUUAUAAUUGCAGACUUAAAGGAGUAUAAAAUCACAAAGAUUUUUGUCUCCACCAGAAACACAGAUUUAUAUCUAAUUUCCUUAAGAUUGUUGCCAAUCUGUGUUAAGAAAAAUAGAAAUUACUGGUUGUAAUAAAUCAUUCAGAAACACGAAGUAACUGAGAUUUUUAAAACCAGUAAAUAAGAUGAACAGAAAUUUAUUUGUAAAAAAUAAUUUAAUCUGUAAAACUUACCAGAAUCUGGAAUACUCUUUUGAAAAAAUUCAGGAAGAAAAUCAAGUACACUGAAUUCACAAUGUCCCCUUAAGGAAAUUAUUCCCCUCUAGUAUCCGCGGUUUGAUUUGGAAUAUAACCUCCCAGGGUAAAAUGAUCUUAAUCAGUAGAGUAUAGAUACCAAAACCUCUACUGUCAGCGAAUCAAUCCACAUCAGGAAAGUACACGAAGAAAUAUAUAUGUUUUUAAGAAGAAGGAAGAUUAGAAAAAAUGUGAGAAAUAUUCUGAAGACUGAAUGGUAUUUAUAGGCAAGAAUAAUAUAUUCUGAAAGGUUGCUACCCUUUCAGAAUUGACACGACCAUUAAUGAAAGGUUGCAAACUUUCAAAUGGUAUUGACUGUUCCUGAAAGUUGCAACCUUUCAGAACAGUCAUGGCGGGAAAUUUUGAAUAUAACAGAAUUUAAAACAGGUCACUCGCGCGGAUCCGAGUCGGGUCGGGUUAAAUUCUGUUAUCAACUAAUUUAUUGAAAAUAAUUUUUGGCCAUUUAAAUUAAUUAAUAAAUAAUUAAAAUAAAUUUUGUCCAAAAAAUUAUCUCUCGAUCAUUUGCCAAAGCCAAAGCCAAAGCCGAAGCCGAAGCGAGCGAGCGACGAUGACGACGGCGCGAGGGGAUCCCUCUUUCCAACCCUUUUAACAAUUAAUAGGAGUGUUUAUUUAUUUAAACUCUCCUAUUUUCAUUUCCAUUAACGAUAAGGGACUAUUUCCUUUUUCAAUAAAGCAUUAAAGGACUUUUCAAGUUCCCAACCUUUCAAGUUCUAAACUUGGGAAAAUACCCAAGUACCCCCUCAACCUAUGCCCGAAAUCCCAGAGACACACUUAUACUAUACUAAGGUCCUAUUACCCCUCUGAACUUAUUUUAUAUGUAAUUUUCUACCCCUUUUUAGCCUACGUGGCACUAGUUCGAAAAAAAAUAGUCAACCAUCGUUGGCCCACAAGAUAGUGCCAUGUAAGCUAAAAAGGGGUAAAAAAUUAUUAAUAAAAUAUGUUCAGGGGGUAAUAGGACCUUAGUAUAGUAUAAGUGUGUCUCUGAGAUUUCAGGCAUAGGUUAAGGGGGUACUUGGGCAUUAUCCCUCUAAACUUUUCAAAUUCCUCUCCUUUCCUCUAUUUCCCAUCAAUUCUUGCUACAUAUCCAACAAGCACUACUAUAGGCUCACCAUGAUCUACAAUAUUUUUUUGGCAUUAAGAAGUCAUUUAAAAUGAAUCUGGUGAGUUUUUUAGUCUUCCAUAUGUUGCACAUGAAGAUAUUGGUGAUAUGAUUUUCGAUCGAUUUAUUAGUGAAGUCCUUUUUGGGUAUGGUUAGGAGUCCUAUUUGGGGAUCAAGUUAUAUUUCCCCUAUAAAUAAAGAGAUUUUACUUCGUUGUAAAUUAGAUCUAUGAAUAUCUAAAUAUCAAUAAAGAGAUUUUAAACAAUCUUCACUAAUUAUUUCUAGAUGUCUGGGUAACAUUUUGAGUAAAGAUUUUUGAAUUCAAAAUCUCAUUUUCAGAAUUGAGAUUUUGAAAAGAUUUGACCCAUUUUUUCAGAAUGUAUGAUAAGUCUAGGAACGGACCAAAAAGGGACCACCGAAACGGAACGGGAUGAGUUAAUCGGUUUGUUGAUCGGUAUUGGAAUGAACCAGAUCGGAAUUAUCGGGACGGAUACUGGUUCCAUCCCGUCCCACUAUAUACGGGGAUCAAACCGGAACGGAAAGGGACGACACAUCUAGUUAUUUCAAAAAAAAAUUGAAUUACAAAAUUAUAAAUAUUUUUUUAUUUUAUAAGUUUAAUAGUUUUUUUAUAAUGUAAUUUUUUAUUUAAGUUUAUUUUAAAGAUAAUUUUUUAAAAAAAAUUAUUUACUAAUUUUGCAAGUUAAGUCUAAUUAAGUUUUUAUAAUUGAUUAUUUACAUUGUAUUAUGUUUACCGUGAUGAGAGACAUUGAUAAUUAUGCGGAAGGGAAAAUGUUCAGGAAAGUAAAAUGAUAUAAAGCCGAAGGAAAAUAGUUCCAGCUAGUGAUAUGCAUGAUAGAAAGCCGAAUGAGAAUUAUUUCGGCUAGUGAUAUUGUGUCGAAGGAAAAUGAUCCCGACAAGUAACAUGAUAUAAAAUAAAACGAAAAAUGAUUUCGACUAGUGAUAUUGUGAAGGGAAAUAGUUUCGGUAAGUGGUUCUAUAUAAAACCAAAAGAAAAUGGUUCCGGCCAAUUAUGGGAAGUGUUUGAUUAUUAUGAUUCGAUGAACCUAAUACUUAUAUUUAAUUGAUGUACUUGAUACUUGUAAUUGAUCUGCUUAAUAUUUGUUAUUGACAUACUUUAUACUUGUUGGUUGACGAACAAUGAAUGUUAGCUAUGAUUGAUAAUGCUUGAGUACUGUGAAUUGUAAAACUGUAACAUCUCGCAAUUUGAAAUAGUUAGAAAGAAGCUAAGAACUUUAAAUAAUCAUUUUGAAAAUAAUGACAAAUCUGGAAAUUUGUUAAAUUAAGAAAAAUGAGUUUUUGGUCAGCUUCAAAUGGUGAUAACUCCUAGCUCAAAAUUAGUUAGGUGUAUUUCGAGAUAUGGUUUCAAAGAUCUUUGAACGAUCUUUCCAAUGCCGCCGAGUUUGCGCAAUUCUGAGUUCGUAUAAGUGAGAUAUGUCAUUUGAAAGUUGGGGAGUUGGAAAAAAGAAAUGUCAAAUCCAAAUUUUUAAGGGGUAUUUUAAUCUUUUCAUUGUCCUAUUAUUAUAAUCCAUUUUUAGGAGUUUAAGAUGGGUCAAAUCAGAAGUUAUUCAGGUUUUUUAGUAAUUUGAAAUUUACGCGGGCUUGGAGAAAGGAGAAAAGGGAGAAACAAGAAGAAAGGGCAAGAUUCAUAAAGAUCGAUCAAUCGAGUUGUGUUUUCGCCAAGGAUUUAUUUCUAUGAGGUAUGUGAGGUUUUCAUAGCGUUAGGAUCGUUCUCCCAUGCGUCAAAAUAUUUAUCGCAGUAUGGAUUCGCCCUAAAAGAAAUUGAUAGUUUAUGAUCUUGGUACCUAUUCUUGAUUUUGAUGUUGUUCUGGAAUUUGUUUGAUUUAAGAAGUUUCUGCAAUUGUUACGUCAUAUUAUAGAGUCGUUUCGAGUUAGGUUCUUAGGUGCAUUGUUGGGUGUUUGUAUCUAAAAAGGAUUUGAGAAAAAGGAUCGAGUUUGGGUGAACUGGGGCUGAAAAACGAAGAAGAAACUUCAUCGAACGAAAUUUUAACAUGGUGGCGCGUCGCGCAACAACUCUCUAGACUUGGGAAUUUCUUAUUCAUGACGCUGAGCUGGCACGAGGUGGUCUGCCUCAAAAUAUGUUUUCGAAACCAAAAUCUAAAUACCAACUCUCCGCAUCGCGGAUCCACCCUUAAAUCUUGAUAAUUCUAUUUUUUCCCUCAUGUUUAGCUAUCUAAAAUCAUUCCUAAACAUCAUGAGAUUUUUCCAAUGACAAAUCACCAUUCAUGAAUCCGUAAUUCAACUCAAAGAUUUGUUAAGAGUCAAAUUCAAGAGAAGUCAAGAGUCAAUUUAAGAUAAGUUCUUAAAGUUUUUUUUUUCAAAAGUCUUUAUAAACGCUUUAACUUUGUUUUCAAACUUAAGUUUCAAGUUAAGCAAAGAGUAAGGAGUUGAGUUCAUUUCUCAAAAAUUUAUAAGGGAACUAAGUAUUCCCAAAGAGUUUAUAAAUAUUUUCAUGUUUUAGUAAGAAAACGAAACAUCGAUCCCUAGAUCUUUUAAGCUAAGUUUUGAGUAAUUAUCUCAAUCCAAAGAAAGAAGUUUCGUUUUUUAAAACAUAUGAGCUAAGCAUAUUAGAACACCAAUAUGGGGAUGCAAGUUCAUAUUAACUCAAGGCUCCAAAAACAAUGUAAUCAUCAUGGGUAUUAAAGGAUCAUUCUUUUUAGAUAACUUCUUAAGAUAAUUUUAGCACAGACUAGUGAAUCCACUUAGUGAGUUAGGUUUUAUACCCUCGGCAAGGUAUAUGAAGGCCCUUGGCAGCGUAAGGUAAAACGUUGUACCAUCACUUAAACUCAUAGUGGUGAGUUUCGGUUAGAGAUUGAUCUCCCAAAGAAACUAUAUUACUUUGUUAUAUAAGUAUGAGUUUGUUAUCGCACUUCCUUUUUAAUGAACUAAGAUAUUUUCCACUGUUUUUUACCAGUUUACAUAUAUUGCAUGUGUUUUAUCGCCUUAUAUUGAGUUUGUUAAUAAUGAGUUGAGAAGAUCCAAGGUAAGUGUUUCUUCCAUAUUCUUUUCAAGCCUAUGUAUUGUUAGAAUUUCAACUACAUACUUGUACAUUCAAUACUGAUGCCAGUGGUCUGCAUCAUCUUAUAAUGUAGAUACAGAUAACCAGGAUCAGCAUCCAGCGCCACGUUGAUCAGGUUCAACACUUAGAGUAAGUUGGUGAGUCUCCUUGCAUUGCGGAGGACCCUUCUUAUCAUUGCUUUUUAGUUUUCAGUUGUUAGGAUGAACUAGGGUCCUGUCCCGACAUCCCUCUUUAUUUUCGAGGCUUCAUAGACAAAUACUUAUGGUUCUUUAGUGUUAUUCAUCUCAGUUGUAUUCGUUUAAGACUUGAGUUGCCAUUUUGGCUAAGGUAUUAUUAAGUGUUGAAUGCCUUGAAUCAAUUCUGUAUGUUUGGCCCAAGCCUGUUAGGGCGUAGCUUAGCACUAUAUAUAGACGCUAUGGCAAACCCUAUUUUGUAUUCUGUUUUUGCCUCUCCAUAAUAAAACUGCUCCCUCUCUUCCCCAUGGACGUAGACAAUUUAUUGGUGAACCACGUAAAUCUGUUGUCUUGUUUUUCGUGUUUAUAUUUUUUCAUAUUAUCUCAAAUUCCGCAUAACAAAUUGGUAUCAGAGCCUCUUGGUUAAUCGGUGUUUCUUUUGGAUAAUUCGAGAUGUCUGCUUUGAACAUGAAAAUCGACAAAUUCACAGGGAGGAACAGUUUCAGUUUAUGGCAGAUCAAGAUGCGGGCUUUGUUUAAACACCAAGGCUUCUAGGCACCGUUAUCGAAAGACAAGAACGCCGUCGUUACUCCUGAGAUGGCGAUUCUGGAGGAAAAGGCGCACUCGACGAUCAUGCUGUGUCUCACGAAUGACGUCAUCACGGAGGUCUCGGAUGAAGAGACUGCUGCUGGUCUGUGGUUGAAGCUGGAGAGUUUGUACAUGACAAAAUCUCUAACCAACAAGCUGCUUCUAAAAUAGCGUCUAUUCGGUUUAUGAAUGGCUGAAGGUACACAACUCAGGGAACAUUUAGAGCAAUUGAAUACUUUGUUACUAGAAUUGCGUAAUAUCGAUGUGAAGAUCGAGGAUGAAGAUGCUGCCCUGAUUCUGUUAGUAUCUCUCCUAAUGUCGUUUGAGAAUUUUGUUCAAUCGUUCAUUGUUGGGAAAGAUACUGUGUCGCUGGAAGAAGUCAGAUCGGCCCUUCAUAGCAGGGAAUUACGGCAUAAGGCUAACGGCACAAGUACAGACAUAUAACCUUCCGGUCUGUUCACCAGUAGCGAAAAGGGAAGGAAAAAUGGCAGAAAGAAAAGAAGCCGAUGUCGAAGGGUGCAAAGCUGGAUGAUGUUUGUAAUUACUGCAAGGAGAAGGGACACUGGAAAUUUGAUUGUCCAAAGAAGAAGAAGCAAUCGAAAAAACAAUUAGUUUCUGCUGCUGUUGCUGAAGAAGACACCAAUUCUGAAGAAGACAUUGCCCUAGUCGCGGAUAAGCACACUCAUCAUUCAGAUGUGUGGGUUCUCGAUUCUGGGGCAUCCUAUCACAUUUGUCCUAGGAGAGAGUGGUUCACGACUUAUACGCAGGUAGACGGAGGCAGCAUCUCGAUGGCCAACAGCUCUGUCUGCAAGGUGGUUGGGACAGGCUCGAUCAAGAUAAGGACACAUGACGGUAGCUUCUGCACAUUGAACGAGGUCAGGCACGUUCCAUUGAUGACAAAAAAUUUGAUAUCUCUCAGUCUUUUGGAUAGUAAGGGAUUUACCUGGUCGGGAAAAGAUGGAGUCUUGCGAGUCUAGAAAGGUUCAAAUCUGAUUUUGAAAGGCGUCAUGCGUGGUACUUUGUAUUUUCUACAAGGUUUCACGGUUACAGGUUCAGCCCAUGUUGCAUCGUCAGAAUAUCACCAGAAGGAUAUGACUAAGUUAUGGCACAUGAGACUUGGUCAUAUGGGUGAAAAGGGGAUGCAAAUUCUAUCAAAGGAGGAUCUUCUUGCUGGUCAUAAGGUUAAGAGCCUAGAGUUUUGUGAACAUUGUGUCUUUGGAAAACUACAUCGCAACAAGUUUCCAAAGGCCAUUCACAGAACAAAAGGCACACUUGAUUAUAUCCAUUCUGAUUGAUGGGGUCCAUGCCGUGUUGAGUCUUUGGGAGGCUGCAGAUUCUUUGUGUCCAUUAUUGAUGACUACUCAAGGAUGACUUGGGUGUACAUGAUGAAGCAUAAAAGUGAAGCUUUCCAGAAGUUCAAGGAGUGGAAAAUUUUGAUGGAAAAUCAAACAUGGAAGAAUAUCAAGAGGUUGCGAACUGAUAAUGGCUGGAAUUCUGCUGGUCUGAAUUUGAUCAAUUCUGUAAGGAUGAAGAGAUUGCUCGACAUCGUACAGUCAGAAAUACACCACAGCAGAACGGUGUAGCUGAGCGGAUGAAUAAAACACUUCUGGAGAAAGAUUAUUACUUGCAAAUGGGUUUUCAAGAAGAAGGAAGGGAUAUCACAAGCAGAAGAAGUCAAGUAUAAAGCCAGGGUUGUUGCCAGAGGUUUCAACCAAAGAGAGGGAGUGGACUACAAUGAGAUCUUCUCACCAGUGGUCAGACAUACUUCCAUCCGAUUGUUACUAGCGAUAGUUACACAUCAGAAUCUGGAGCUUGAACAACUUGAUGUGAAGACAGCGUUUCUACAUGGAGAGUUGGAGGAAGAGAUAUACAUGACUCAGCCGGAUGGUUUCCAAGUUCCAGGGAAAGAAAAUCACGUCUGCAAGUUGAAGAAGUCCUUAUAUGGACUUAAGUAGUCUCCAAGGCAGUGGUACAAAAGGUUUGAUAGCUAUAUGGUGAAGUUGGGCUAUACUCGGAGCUCAUAUGAUUGUUGUGUCUACUACAAUAGGCUCAAGGAUGAUUCAUUCAUCUAUCUGGUGCUUUAUGUAGAUGAUAUGUUGAUAGCUGCAAAGAAGAAGUAUGACAUUCAAAAGCUGAAGGGUUUACUUAGUGCUGAGUUUGAGAUGAAGGAUCUGGGAGCCGCGCGGAAGAUUCUAGGGAUGGAGAUCAUUAGAGACAGAGAGAAGGAAACUUUUCUUGUCACAGAGAAGUUACAUUUAGAAGGUCUUGGCGAGGUUUGGCAUGUCUUCAUCUAAGCCUAUUGAUACCCCCAGUGCUGUCAAUAUCCAUCUCACUGCCAUGUUCGCUCCACAGUCAGAAGAAGAGAAAGAGUAUAUGUCACGAGUCCCUUAUGCCAGUGCCGUAGGAAGUUUAAUGUAUGCUAUGGUCUGUACAAGGCAAGAUUUAGCACAUGCAGUCAGUGUAGUGAGCAGAUUCAUAGGACAACCAGGGAGAGAACAUUGGCAGGCUGUGAAGAGAAUUUUCCGGUACCUUAGAGGUACAUCUGACGUUGGUCUCAUUUAUGGAGGUGAUACUCAGUGCUUGGUUACUGGCUAUUCUGAUUCUGACUAUGCUGGAGAUGUUGACACAAGAAGAUUGAUGACUGGCUAUAUUUUUACCCUUGGAGGAUCUGUCGUCAGUUGGAAGGCAACUUUGCAACCUACAGUGACUUCGUCUACUACGGAAGCGGAGUACAUGGCCUUGACAGAGGCUGCAAAAGAAGGGAUUUGGCUGAAAGGGCUGGUUAGUGAUCUUGGUCUGCAUCAUGAUCAGGCUACGGUGUAAUGUGACAGUUUGAGCAUAAUUUGUCUAGCAAAGGAUCAAGUCCAUCAUGAGAGAACCAAGCAUAUUGACGUAAGGUAUCAUUUUUUGAGAAGUGAGAAGAGAAUCAAGGUGAAGAAAGUAGGCACUGCUGAUAAUCCUGCUGAUAUGUUCACAAAGCCGGUUCCACAGAGCAAGUUUCAACACUGUUUGGACUUGCUCAACAUUAGAAGCUAUUAAUUGCCCUGCGGGGGCAAUUCUAAGGAAGAGGGGGAGGCCUGGCACUAUCAUAGUGCAUCUGAAGAAUCUGUUCGGAGAAUUCAAGUCAAGGUGGAGAUUUGUUGAAUGUCUUGAAUCAAUUCUGUAUGUUUGGCCCAAGCCUGUUAGGGCGUAGCUUAGCACUAUAUAUAGACGCUAUGGCAAACCCUAUUCUGUAUUCUGUUUUUGCCUCUCCAUAAUAAAACUGCUCCCUCUCUUCCCCGUGGACGUAGCCAAUUUAUUGGUGAACCACGUAAAUCUGUUGUCUUGUUUUUUGCAUUUAUAUUUUCUCGUAUUAUCUCGAAUUUCGCACAUUAAGUUAUUUCAUGAGUUAUAUCUUUUGUGUUUAAGUCUUCCGCUGAGUAAGUAAGUCAGACCAAGGGUUCGCUAGAGGCCAGCAACGGUCUUCAAGUAUAUGUCCCGCUCAUGGUGUAGGCACGGAGCAUGAGAAAAACUGCUAUAUAAACUGAUUUCUAUGCAGGUUGUAGUUGAGGCAGCUUAUUUGGGAUGAAAGGAGUACUCAUCAUAUUCUAGAUAAUUUUGUUUUAUUUAGGUGUUUACUUGUUGAGUACGACCUUAACAACAUGGUUACCCUUUUGGUUUCAUCCUUAAAUUAUUUGCCUUUUAUUUAAUUUUUUUAAUCAAUUUUAUUGAAUUUUGACUCUGGAUUAAUAUAUAUAUACAUACAUAUCAUUGUUUUAGAGAAUCUAAAAACUAGAAAUGAAAUGAAUUUAUUAUUGAAUCUGAAAAAUUACAAAGUACAACAAUGUAACAGAUGAAAAAACAUUGCUUUAUUCUUCUUUCUCUCUUAAGAAAUAUUUUGCAUCCUUUGGUCCAUCUUGAGGGCUUCAACUUAAACUUUUCAUUUUUUCAAUAUCUUCUGCAAAAACUACAGAUAAAAACAUAUGUUUAUAUUAUUAGAAAAUGAAAACAAUAACUUAGUGCAAUAUAUAUCACAUGUUAAAUUAUACAUAUAUAUUUUGAUAAAACAAAAAAGAUUUACCUCGGAGAAUCUUAGCAACACAUUCACCUCCACAAGGGGUCUCACAAGCAGAUUUUUCCUUGCCACUAGAAAUACAUAAAGCUACACAUUUAGUGCGACAUUUUCCAUAAUCAUCAGCCAUAUUUUCAUAUGUCAUUCUGAAUCUUUCAUCAUUUACUUCUUUGGUAGCCAUGGAGAUGUCCACACAUGAAGAAAUCACAAAAAUGCAAAUGAGAAACAAUGAAAAAAACUUCUUUGAUGCCCCCAUCUUUAUUUUUUUGUUUUUUAAAUAUUUUUUUUGUUGUUUUGUUUGGUUUUCAGAUGAUUUGAUUAAUGUUAUUGAAU